This 460-nucleotide ribosomal RNA is filed under the name uncultured Campylobacterota bacterium. RNAcentral's name for it is "bacterial LSU rRNA". It matches the Rfam family "Bacterial large subunit ribosomal RNA", at positions 1369 to 1807 of the family's 2925-position model. Lineage: Bacteria; Pseudomonadati; Campylobacterota. The record is from RNAcentral.
UCAUCGUAGGGUUAGUCGGGACCUAAGCCGAGUCCGAGAGGGGUAGGCGAUGGAAAAUCGGUUAAUAUUCCGAUACCAACUAUAGAGCGUGAUGGGAGGACGCAUAGGGCUAUGUGAGGUCACUGAUGGAAUAGUGGCUCGAAGGGUGUAGGCUGGGAGAGAAAGGAAAAUCCACUUUCCUAUAGCUGAGACCUGACAGGCUGUGGAGGCUCUUAGGAGCCAAAACAGAAUCACAGAUGCCGAAGUGCCAAGAAAAGUCUCUAAGCAUAUCUAUAGUUGCCCGUACCGUAAACCGACACAGGUGGGUGAGAUGAGAAUUCUAAGGCGCGUGGAAGAACCAUUGUUAAGGAACUCUGCAAACUAGCACCGUAUCUUCGGUAGAAGGUGUGCCUACUUGGGUGAAGCCCUUAGCGGGUGGAGCCUGAGAGGUUGCAACAAAGAGUCCCUCCCGACUGUUUAC